Molecule: unclassified non-coding RNA, 249 nt
Filed under: Linnemannia amoeboidea
Lineage: Eukaryota; Fungi; Mortierellomycota; Mortierellomycetes; Mortierellales; Mortierellaceae
Also listed under: 1 other name
Description: partial internal transcribed spacer 2
Source: RNAcentral
AACACCUCAACUCCCCUUUCUUUUUUGAAAUGGGAGCUGGACUUGAGUGAUCCCAACGCUUUUCUCACCGAAAAGCGGCGGGUUACUUGAAAUGCAGGUGCAGCUGGACUUUUCUCUGAGCUAUAAGCAUAUCUAUUUAGUCUGCCUAAAAAACAGAUUAUUACCUUUGCUGCAGCUAACAUAAAGGAGAUUAGUUCUUGUGCUGACUGAUGCAGGAUUCACAGAGACAGCUUCGGCUGGCCUUUGUAA